GUAGUCAUUGAUUCAGAAGACA
This 22-nucleotide microRNA is filed under the name Heliconius melpomene (postman butterfly). Its description in RNAcentral is "Hme-Mir-3-P23_5p (mature (co-guide))". The record is from RNAcentral. Lineage: Eukaryota; Metazoa; Arthropoda; Insecta; Lepidoptera; Nymphalidae.